CCUACGGGAGGCAGCAGUGGGGAAUAUUGGACAAUGGGCGCAAGCCUGACCCAGCAACGCCGCGUGAAGGAAGAAGGCCUUCGGGUUGUAAACUUCUUUUCUCAGGGACGAAGCAAGUGAAGGUACCUGCGGAAUACACCGUGGCUAACUACGUGCCAGCCGCCGCGGUAAUCCGUAGGUUGCAAGCGUUACCCGGAUUUGGUGGGGGUAACGGUCGUGUAGGCGGGAAAGCAAGGCAGAUGUGAAAACCAUGGGCUCAACCUGUGGCCUGCACUUGAAACUGGUUUUCGUGAGUGCUGGAGAGGCAGACGGAAUGCCUGGUGUAGCGGUGAAAUGCGUAGAUAUCAGGAGGAACACCGGUGGCGAAGGCGGUCUCCUGGACAGCAACUGACGCUGAGGCGCGAAAGCGUGGGGAGCAAACAGGAUUAGAUACCCUUGUAGUC
Molecule: ribosomal RNA, 443 nt
Filed under: uncultured bacterium
Lineage: Bacteria
Description: partial 16S ribosomal RNA
Rfam family: Bacterial small subunit ribosomal RNA
Source: RNAcentral